Long non-coding RNA from Poecilia latipinna (sailfin molly), 136 nucleotides. RefSeq lists it as uncharacterized. Lineage: Eukaryota; Metazoa; Chordata; Actinopteri; Cyprinodontiformes; Poeciliidae. The transcript is spliced from 3 exons. The record is from RefSeq and is a predicted model, not a curated record.
AGUUAAUCUCAAAAAUAAAAUUAGCUCCUGUCCCUUCUCCCAGUGCAAAGUAGAAACAACCAAUCAGAGCCAGGAGGCGGGUCUUAGUGCUGUCAAUCACCCUCUGAGAUCUCUGCUUCUUCCUGAUAGCAGAGCC